RNAcentral lists this transfer RNA (72 nucleotides) under Horornis vulcanius. RNAcentral describes it as "tRNA-Glu". Lineage: Eukaryota; Metazoa; Chordata; Aves; Passeriformes; Scotocercidae. The record is from RNAcentral.
GUUCCUGUAGUUAAAAUUUUGUAACGGCAGUUUUUCAGGCUGCAGAUCUCGGAGAGAAGCCGAGUGGGAAUU